Molecule: unclassified non-coding RNA, 363 nt
Filed under: Hevea brasiliensis (rubber tree)
Lineage: Eukaryota; Viridiplantae; Streptophyta; Magnoliopsida; Malpighiales; Euphorbiaceae
Source: RNAcentral
AGAGGCAGGAUACGAUGUUUGUGACAAAUCAGAGUUCUUUCUAUCACGUUUAUAGAAUUUAAAAUUUAGUAUGGAAAUUUCAUGAAGAAAAAUAAUAAAUAAUAAAGCUUAAUUAAAAUCAGAUAAUGAAGAAGGAAAACAUACCGCAAACAUCAUACUGAAUCAAGCAGGAGCUGCAACUGUGCGGGCGAAGAUCAAUGAACUAUCGCACAAUAAAACUUAGGCUUCUUAAGUUGAUGAAGAAAACAGUGUUUUGUUAAAUUAACACAAAACAUUCGUCAUCUGCAAUAGGCCAUCAAGUGUUCCCCCUGUACAAGUUGUAUUCCAAAAUUUCUAUCCUUGGCUGCCGUAAAAAAGCAAUUU